This 402-nucleotide ribosomal RNA is filed under the name uncultured bacterium. RNAcentral's name for it is "bacterial SSU rRNA". It matches the Rfam family "Bacterial small subunit ribosomal RNA", at positions 362 to 755 of the family's 1533-position model. The record is from RNAcentral.
UUUUGGACAAUGGGCGCAAGCCUGAUCCAGCCAUUCCGCGUGAGUGAAGAAGGCCUUCGGGUUGUAAAGCUCUUUCGCAAGGGAAGAAAACUUACUUUCUAAUAAGGAGUGAGGUUGACGGUACCUUGACAAGAAGCACCGGCUAACUACGUGCCAGCAGCCGCGGUAAUACGUAGGGUGCGAGCGUUAAUCGGAAUUACUGGGCGUAAAGUGUGCGCAGGCGGCUUUGUAAGUCAGAUGUGAAAUCCCCGAGCUCAACUUGGGAACUGCGUUUGAAACUACAAGGCUAGAAUAUGUCAGAGGGGGGUAGAAUUCCACGUGUAGCAGUGAAAUGCGUAGAGAUGUGGAGGAAUACCAAUGGCGAAGGCAGCCCCCUGGGAGUAAUAUUGACGCUCAUGCACG